UACGGAGGGUGCAAGCGUUGUUCGGAAUCAUUGGGCGUAAAGCGCGUGUAGGCGGUGAAUUAAGUCUGAUGUGAAAGCCCGGGGCUCAACCCCGGAAGUGCAUUGGAUACUGGUUCACUAGAGGGUGAGAGAGGGAAGUGGAAUUCCUGGUGUAGGGGGGAAAUCCGUAGAUAUCAGGAGGAACAUCAGAGGCGAAGGCGGCUUCCUGGCUCGGUACUGACGCUGAGGCGCGAAAGCGUCGGGAGCAAACAGG
This 253-nucleotide ribosomal RNA is filed under the name uncultured bacterium. Its description in RNAcentral is "partial 16S ribosomal RNA". It matches the Rfam family "Bacterial small subunit ribosomal RNA", at positions 524 to 776 of the family's 1533-position model. The record is from RNAcentral.